Molecule: long non-coding RNA, 1085 nt
Organism: Solanum dulcamara
Lineage: Eukaryota; Viridiplantae; Streptophyta; Magnoliopsida; Solanales; Solanaceae
Exons: 2
Source: RefSeq, a predicted model, not a curated record
CUUGUUCCUGUAUACAUCAGCAAAAAACAAAGACCGAUGAGUACAUAUACUACCGCAAUAUACCGCAUACAUACAAUUCUAAAGAUGCGUACCCGUACACCCCUCAUGUCGUCUUCUUCCUCAGCUUCACCCUACAAUUAGUACACUACCCUUUUCCCAUCUCUGUGUUUUCGUCCUUGGCUCGUUUGAUUUGAGUCAGUAGUGGUUUCGAGAAGCUUCGUAUCAAAUCUUAGUUGUCCACCUAGCUUCAAAUUCGUUCGUUUUGUUGAGAAUUUGACAUCUUUUGAAAGCAAUUUAGGGAUAUUUCUAAUGUUGUUCAAGAUUUGAAUUUCGAAUUCGUUUCUUAUCCAGAAAUUCUAUCUCAAGUCCCCUAUUCCCCCCUCUCCCAGUCCAAUUUUCGACACCAAAUUCCUUCUAUAAAAAUCUCCUUUCUAGCCAUUGUGGAGGGUGGAUUUUUUGGGGAUUAUGAAAUAGAGAGGAAAGAAAGGUAGAAAACAAAUAGAAAAGAGAAGUUAAAUUGUCUUCUUAUAGCUUGAAUCGAAAAGGAGUUGAAGAAAAAGUUCAACCUUCUUGCUCAUCCUUCGUCCUCUUUUUCGAAGUACUGCGGAAUGUUUUAGUGAUUGUGGAAGUCUCAAGUUCAUUCGGUCUCAGUAUCGCUGGCCGAAAAAAAGAGCUAAAAUAUAGGGAAGCUGAUUACAGGUUGCUGUAUACUCUUGGUAUGCUAGCCGAUAUACAAAAGAUACAGAAAAAAGUAGGAGAUAUACACUUAUAUAUAUUAUAUACCUUGCUGAUAUACAUCAAAAUUGGGCCCAAAAAGGUCCAAAAGCAGGUGCAACAGUAGUCUAAGGGCCCAAAUGCAACAACAAUAUUUUUUUUUGUUAGAAAUUAGGACAUGGAUUGAAGAUUGGGCCUAUUAAGCCCAAUAGUUUGAAUUUGGACAAGAAGCCUAAAUUUAUCAUUUGUUUUAUUUAAUUGUUUAUUUGUAAUUGAUUGUUUGUUAACUCUUAAUUUUGAAUUUUUUGAUUUAUCUAAUUAAAUCCCCAAACAAAGAACUAAUUUCUUUUAUAAGAUUACUUUUUAGAUUU